ACAGCAGCCGCCACGGUAAUACGGAGGGAGCUAGCGUUGUUCGGAAUUACUGGGCGUAAAGCGCACGUAGGCGGUUAUUCAAGUCAGAGGUGAAAGCCCGGGGCUCAACCCCGGAACUGCCUUUGAAACUAGAUGACUGGAAUCUUGGAGAGGUCAGUGGAAUUCCGAGUGUAGAGGUGAAAUUCGUAGAUAUUCGGAAGAACACCAGUGGCGAAGGCGACUGACUGGACAAGUAUUGACGCUGAGGUGCGAAAGCGUGGGGAGCGAACAGGAUUAGAUACCCGCGUAGUCCCUGUCUCUUAUAC
RNAcentral lists this ribosomal RNA (305 nucleotides) under uncultured bacterium. RNAcentral describes it as "partial 16S ribosomal RNA". It matches the Rfam family "Bacterial small subunit ribosomal RNA", at positions 508 to 807 of the family's 1533-position model. The record is from RNAcentral.